This 408-nucleotide ribosomal RNA is filed under the name bacterium enrichment culture clone ALO1_GLFRUDD03GJ7Z0. RNAcentral describes it as "bacterial SSU rRNA". It matches the Rfam family "Bacterial small subunit ribosomal RNA", at positions 9 to 416 of the family's 1533-position model. The record is from RNAcentral.
GAGUUUGAUCGUGGCUCAGAUUGAACGCUGGCGGCAUGCCUUACACAUGCAAGUCGAACGGCAUCACGGGAGCUUGCUCCUGGUGGGCGAGUGGCGAACGGGUGAGUAAUGCAUCGGAACGUAUCCUGGAGUGGGGGGAUAACGUAGCGAAAGUUACGCUAAUACCGCAUAUUCUGUGAGCAGGAAAGCGGGGGACCUUCGGGCCUCGCGCUCUUGGAGCGGCCGAUGUCGGAUUAGCUAGUUGGUGAGGUAAAGGCUCACCAAGGCGACGAUCCGUAGCAGGUCUGAGAGGAUGAUCUGCCACACUGGAACUGAGACACGGUCCAGACUCCUACGGGAGGCAGCAGUGGGGAUUUUGGACAAUGGGGGCAACCCUGAUCCAGCCAUGCCGCGUGAGUGAAGAAGGCC